Molecule: ribosomal RNA, 120 nt
Organism: Trichoderma reesei QM6a
Lineage: Eukaryota; Fungi; Ascomycota; Sordariomycetes; Hypocreales; Hypocreaceae
Source: Rfam
ACAUACGACCACAGCCACCUGAGAAAUCUGGAUCCCGUCUGAUCUCCGAUUGAUAACCAGAUGAGCGCCGGAGUAGUAGCUGGGUCGGUGACGACCAGCGAACUCCUGGUGUUGUAUGUC